AACGGAUGUCACUGAUACCCUGGCUGGUUCCUUGGCCACCGCCUCGGAUGGGCAGAUAAAGCUCCUUCUUAUGGCAGCCAGGGGGAUUUAGAUGGUGUGUGAAUAAAUCAAACCUCAGGAAUUGAGGUGGAAGAACUGAGCUAUAAGAGAGCUAGGGGAGUACAGGAGAGCAGGAACAGGACUGCUAGUGCUGAGAAAUCCCUAAUCCUUAUUCCAUGGUCAGACUUGGGCUCCUUCAUAAAACAAGGAUAGCAGAGGUCAUUUCUCCCUGGGUCUCCAUCAAUGAGAUGAAAGCUAUUGAGCAUUAACAGUGAUCAUCUAGAGCCUUCUGCAUGUAUGUGCAUUCCCAGGUUGGUAAUAUCCUACCCAAAUGCAUAAAUCCAGUUCCUGGCUAUCUGCAGUGGAGUUUUCUCCAUCCUGUGCAAUGUAAUUUCAGGCGCUAUGUGCCGUGCAUAACCUGGCAACCCACCUACACACAGCAGCCGAACGGAGGCAAAGUUAUCUAAUAACAAUUGAAUAUUUGACUUGAAGCAACUUGCUUUGCAGCCUUGAACUAUUGACUUGCUGUGGUACCCGA
Pezoporus flaviventris is the source of this 577-nucleotide long non-coding RNA. RefSeq lists it as uncharacterized. Lineage: Eukaryota; Metazoa; Chordata; Aves; Psittaciformes; Psittacidae. The record is from RefSeq and is a predicted model, not a curated record. The transcript is spliced from 3 exons.